UAGCUGCGUUAACUGGUGUGAAUUGCAGGACACGCCGAGCACUAAGUUUUCGAACGCAUAUUGCGGCUACGGGUCUUCCCGUAGCCUCGUCUGUCUGAGGGUCGGUUAAUAACCAACCAUUGUAAGAGUCCGUUUCGAGAUCAUGCCAUUUAGUUGUAGGUUUCGUCGGACUUUGGUCGACGCGGUGUUUCGCUGAGAACUGCAGCGGCAUCGGUCCGGCGCGACGUGCUGGAUCGCUCUGCCGUCUUUUGCGAAUAGUUUGAAAGCGUUUAACACUGCGUGUAAUAUAUUCAAUGCAUUGUUGCAUACAAUUACAUUGUUGCAUCAAUUCAUCAAUCUUGUCGACCUCAGAUCAGGCGAGAUUACCCGCUGAAUUUAA
RNAcentral lists this unclassified non-coding RNA (379 nucleotides) under uncultured fungus. RNAcentral's name for it is "sequence contains ITS1". The stretch from base 1 to 104 matches the Rfam family "5.8S ribosomal RNA", at positions 50 to 154 of the family's 154-position model. The record is from RNAcentral. Lineage: Eukaryota; Fungi.